RNAcentral lists this ribosomal RNA (301 nucleotides) under uncultured bacterium. RNAcentral describes it as "partial 16S ribosomal RNA". It matches the Rfam family "Bacterial small subunit ribosomal RNA", at positions 509 to 809 of the family's 1533-position model. The record is from RNAcentral.
CAGUAGCCGCGGUAAUACGGAGGGUGCAAGCGUUAAUCGGAAUUACUGGGCGUAAAGCGUGCGUAGGCGGCUUCUUAAGUCGGAUGUGAAAUCCCUGAGCUUAACUUAGGAAUUGCAUUCGAUACUGGGAAGCUAGAGUAUGGGAGAGGAUGGUAGAAUUCCAGGUGUAGCGGUGAAAUGCGUAGAGAUCUGGAGGAAUACCGAUGGCGAAGGCAGCCAUCUGGCCUAAUACUGACGCUGAGGUACGAAAGCAUGGGGAGCAAACAGGAUUAGAUACCCGAGUAGUCCCUGUCUCUUAUAA